RNAcentral lists this long non-coding RNA (372 nucleotides) under Coturnix japonica (Japanese quail). RNAcentral's name for it is "lncRNA (ENSCJPG00005001679.1)". Lineage: Eukaryota; Metazoa; Chordata; Aves; Galliformes; Phasianidae. The record is from RNAcentral.
AUGGUGAAAUCCUCCCUGUCCAACAUCUUGUUCAUGUCGGGGAGGUUCCCCCUGUAAUUGAGGGGGGGUCCCAUUAAAGGCUGCCCCAUAAGUGCCCCCNUCUCUAUGGGGCAGGGCUUGCUAUGGGGCAGGGCUCUCUAUGGGUCAGGGUCUCUAUGGGGCAGGGCUCUCUGUGGGGCAGGGCUCUCUGUGGGGCAGGGCUCUCUGUGGGGCAGGGCUCUCUAUGGGGCAGGGCUUGCUAUGGGGCAGGGCUCGCUGUGGGGCAGGGCUCACUAUGGGGCAGGUCUCUCUAUGGGUAAGGUCUCUCUAUGGGGCAGGUUUUGCUGUGGGUCAGGUCUCUCUAUGGGGCAGGUUUUGCUAUGGGUCAGGUCU